RNAcentral lists this ribosomal RNA (1351 nucleotides) under metagenome. RNAcentral's name for it is "SSU rRNA". It matches the Rfam family "Eukaryotic small subunit ribosomal RNA", at positions 528 to 1777 of the family's 1831-position model. The record is from RNAcentral.
AAUCCCUUAUCGAUUAACAAUUAGAGGGCAAGUCUGGUGCCAGCAGCCGCGGUAAUUCCAGCUCUAAUAGCGUAUAUUAAAGUUGUUGCAGUUAAAAAGCUCGUAGUUGGGUUUCGGCGUGCGCUCAGGCUGGUCGGCCGUCAAGGUCUGUACCGUUUGGGUCACGCCCCACUGUAGGAUACUCACCGCUGUCCUUAACUGGGUGGCGGUCAAAGGGGGUGUGCAUGGGGGCAACUCUGUGCAUAUCUCUGGGGUUCCUACUCUUUUACUUUGAGCAAAUUAGAGUGUUCAAAGCAGGCAAUCGAGCCUUGAAUACUUCAGCAUGGGAUAAUGGAACAGGACUGGGGUCCUGAUUUCGUUGGUUUCUGGGAUCUCAGUAAUGAUUAAUAGGGAUAGUUGGGGGCAUUAGUAUUUAAUUGUCAGAGGUGAAAUUCUUGGAUUUAUGAAAGACUAACUUCUGCGAAAGCAUUUGCCAAGGAUGUUUUCAUUAAUCAAGAACGAAAGUUAGGGGAUCGAAGACGAUCAGAUACCGUCGUAGUCUUAACCAUAAACGAUGCCGACCAGCGAUUGGGAGACGUUACAUGGAUGACUCCCCCAGCAGCUUGCGAGAAAUCACAAGUCUUUGGGUUCCGGGGGGAGUAUGGUCGCAAGGCUGAAACUUAAAGGAAUUGACGGAAGGGCACCACCAGGAGUGGAGCCUGCGGCUUAAUUUGACCCAACACGGGGAAACUUACCAGGUCCAGACAUAGUAAGGAUUGACAGAUUUGAGAGCUCUUUCUUGGUUCUAUGGGUGGUGGUGCAUGGCCGUUCUUAGUUGGUGGAGUGAUUUGUCUGGUUAAUUCCGCUAACGAACGAGACCUUAACCUGCUAAAUAUGUCACUGGUAGACUUCUGCCAAAACAGGUGGGUGUCUAGGGGAAAGUUUCGAUGGACUCCGACGCAUUCAUCUGUGGAUGACUACCAGGAUGUACUUCUUAGAGGGACUAUCUGUAUCAAAGCAGAUGGAAGUUUGAGGCAAUAACAGGUCUGUGAUGCCCUUAGAUGUUCUGGGCCGCACGCGCGCUACACUGACAAGUUCAACGAGUUUAACACCUUGCUCGAUAGGGCUGGGUAAUCUUUGAAAAACUUGUCGUGAUGGGGAUAGAUCAUUGUAAUUAUUGGUCUUCAACGAGGAAUUCCUAGUAAGCGUGAGUCAUCAGCUCGCGUUGAUUACGUCCCUGCCCUUUGUACACACCGCCCGUCGCUCCUACCGAUUGAAUGAUCCGGUGAAAUGUUGGGAGCUGGGGUCUUUUGGCGGCGGGGCAACUCGUCGUCAGGGAUUCUGCAAACUUCAUUAAACCUUAUCAUUUAGA